AAAAAGAAUGGAAGUGGAGGGUUCAUCGAAGAAGAUGAUAGCAACACAAGCAGAGAUGGUGGAGAACAAGGUCCCCAUCCCGUACAGGGAUCAAUGUGCACAUCUUCUCAUCCCGCUCAACAAGUGCCGCCAAGCCGAGUUUUACUUACCUUGGAAAUGCGAGAUUGAACGCCACUCCUAUGAAAAGUGCGAGUACGAGCUCGUCAUGGAGAGGAUGCUGCAGAUGCAGAAGAUCCGUGAAGAAAAGGCCAAGUUGACACAGGCUGGGAAACAGGGCGUUUCUGUUCCUCUCAUUCCCAAAACUGCUAAUGCUUAAGCUGCCUCCAGGGUCAGUCAAAUUUUCUUUUUCUUUCUUUCUUUUUGUUUCAGUUUCUUUUAUAUAUAAUUUAAUAACUGGAUAUUUAUCUAUUGAUGUUUUCGUUCAUAAUUUGUUGAUGGGUUCAUUGAUCUUUGUAUUAAGGGUUGUUUAAGUUCCAAAAUUUUGGGGUAUUUAGCUAGGUUAAAUUUUUGUUUUUUUCUUUCUUAGUUAGCAUGAUGGAUUGGUUUAACUUUUUUAGGGCUUUGUUUUAAUCAAGGUUAGCUGCUAUAUGUUCGAUAGAAUUUUCCUGUCUGCUCUUAUUAUUGAAAUUGAAGCGUUUAACCCUUUCUUUCCCUCUGUUGGAUAUAAGAUUAAAGGAUUUGAGACUCUGUUUCUCCAUUGUCAAUACUUCUGAUGUUUUUACUGGUUUCCUGUUUUCUAUUAAGGGACUUAUUUUCAUUUGGUCUAUUUAUAGUAGGGUGUAGUGAUUUGGGGGUUUAUUUGUUUGGUUCUUGUGGCAUUUGAUUGGAAAGAAAAGGUAAACUGGAAUGUGUCCGUAUCAAUCAGUUUCUGCUUUGGGGUCUUUUUGUCCAUGGAAUUUUGUUUGAUUUAGAAUUUCAUUUUGAAGAUUUUGAAAUUGGUAUUAGGUUGUUCUUGCCUAAUGACUCGAAAUAUGGUGGGGGGAUACUUGUAGUGAGAUUGAGAACAACAUGCAUUCUGGAUAACCCCCCUAGAUGGGUUUGAGUAAGACUAUUAACAAUCAAGUUUUUUUUUGGUCCUUGGUUAUUGAGAUUGCGUAUUAUGCUUUAAGAGUAAUUCGGUAUAUUCUUGAUACUUUUUUCAGUUACCUGUAUGUUCCUGUUUAGUAGGUGUAGCCAAUGGAAAUUUUUUUAUUAUGGUCAGUAUAAGAUAGUCUGAUAGCAGUGUAAAGAAGAAAUAGGAGUUUGACAACAAAGCACUGAGUUCAUACAUGCAGAUGCAUAAAAGUGGAAUAUCCCAGUUAUUUACCAAACAUGAGUUCUGAUUUACCAUUAUUUAGUUUGAUUGUUCUUGCUUGUUCCCCUCAAGUGGUGCUGGUAUCCUAGGAGAUCUGGGCUAGUGAAUAUAAUAAUGUUGCUGUUUUAAAUCCAAGAUAUAGCCUUAUGUUUAGAGCAUGAAAGGAACAUAAUAAAGAGUAAAGAACUUGUAUGCAGCUACCUGUUUGAUGAUGCAUUGUGCUGACAAUAAUCUCUAUGUUGAUGGAAAUGUUUGGUCAAUGUUUGAGAGUACUUUAUAAGUUUAGGGAAUGUAUCAAUUUCUUGACAAUAAUAUUAUAGUAGCAAAAGUCUUGCAGUGAUUACAAGUAUUGGUCGACAUCAGGUUCAGGGUUCAAACCCUAAAUAGCCCCUUCCCCUUCCACUCUUAACAAUUGGCAAAAGAAAAACUUAAUUGAAGGAACAAAUAUGAUAUUUGCAAAUUCUGAAAGCACAAGAAUGUCAUACUCACAACAAUGCCUAGAUUAGAAGCUGAAAUUAGGCACUAGUUAUACUCGUUUCGUUUUUUCACUUGCCUCAGUAUAGUACUCUUAAGUCCUAAGUACAAACUUUACUGAUGUUACUGCAAAAGUCUAUUUCAGCAGCUUUUAGGUACCUUUCCGGUCAUUUAACCGUAUUCACCACUCUUAAUAUCCAUUAGACUGGUAGAUAUUCUCUUCUAAGUAAAAAAGUAAGUCUAACGUGCAAUAUGUUUCCAUGGACAACAAAAUGAAUGAUCCAAAUUUAAGAAUUAUUGACUUUCCCUAGUCCAGAAGGUUCUUUACAUAUAGAAGAAUAAAAAUGGAUGGGUGCAAUGCAAUUUUGUUAUGUUCAGUCUCGAGAUAAUUUAGUUGCUAAUAAUACAUUCCAACAGAUAUUGUUUUUCGAUUUUCAGAUUAAUAUUUUAUUGGGCUUUAGUUUUUGUAAUAUUGCUCUUAAAGCUUUAAUGAUUUUCUUUUUCAUUUGCCAUGAGUUCUGCUUAUAAUACCUUGUUUAAAUACAUGGCAGGAAGGUUUAGACAGCUUUGGUGGAUAUUUGAUGUUUGUCACCUGUCUGGGAGAAAUUUGAAACUGUUUGUUGUGGACGAAUGUAAGGACUCUAUUUCAUUUGUGAUCUGUCAUCAGCUCAUCAACUUUGUUUAUGGAAUAAAGUUGCUCAUCAAAGUGGACAUGUUCUUUUUCAGAUAUAUUUGUAACAAUGGUUUUCACUUACCCAACUAGGUAAAUAUGCUUCAGGUUGGUGUUUAUUUAAUUGCAACAGAUAUACGAUGGAUAUGCUAUUUGAUCAAUGGGGGCAAACAGAUCAUGGCUUUAGCUAACAAGUUUAUAGUUCAAUCACUUCACCAUGUAAUACAUCAAAAAUAAAUGAAAAAAUACACGAUUUCACCGAGUCGAUGGGGGCAUUGAUACAUGUAUAAUGUCUAGAAACCCAAUAAUUCAAUGAUUUUUUAUUUAGAGGAAGUGACCACGACUGAUCAUUCAAAUUUAUUAGACGUUGGGGAAUUCUAUGUGCUUGACAAAGUUAAAGAGCUCGUUUCUAUAAGAACUUUCAAGCUAAGUCAAGGCCUAUUUCUGUAAGAAUUUACGGGUUCGAGCCUAACUCGAUUACUUUUACUCUUUCAAAAAAAAGGCAUAUAGCUUUUCUUUAAGUUUUUCUUAAUGCUUCUUAAAGUUAUCAUAUAUUUUUAUUUCAGUCCCAGCUAAUCAUAUACUAUCAGAUGUCAAAGUGAUGUCAUUAUUCGAAAAACUAUAAAUAAUUUUUAAAAAUUGGAAAAAAAUUAAAAAGUUGGAAAAAAAUUAGUAAAAUUAUUAAAAGUUAAAAGUUAAAAAUAUAUAUAAUAUAAAAAUUUACUAAAUAUUUUAAAAAAUAUAUAUUAAAAAUUUUAAUAUCUUCAAAAUUUUCUAAAUCGCAUUACUAGAUCUUGAAUAUGAAAUUGUUAGCUUUUAGAAGUUAGAAGGAUACCAUCUACAACUACUUUUAUUUCAAUCAAUUGAAAUUUAUAAUUGGUAGAUCUUUUUAGCUUAUAAAUUUGGAUAAUUUUUUUUCAAUUUAUUUAAAUAAUAAAAAUAAUUUUAUUUCAGUUAAAUAAUAAUUAAAAAAAAUAAUUUUAAUUAUUCCAGAUAUUUUUUUACUAUCUCAAGACAAAUAAUUUGUUUGUAGACCAAUAUCUUAAGAACUAUGGUCGAGUCAGGGGCAAAACCAAAAUUUUUUUUAAGGGGUGCCGAAAUUAAAUUGUAAUUUUUACAAUAGUAAAAAUACAAUUUUUAAAAGAAUAAAUCAAAAUUUUAUCAUUUUUAUGGGGACAAAAUACAAUUUUACCUUUACUAAUUUAAAAUUUUAAAAAUUUUAAAGGGUAUAAAUAAAAAAAAUUCUAUUUUAGGGGGGCCGGGGCCCCUACCAGCCCUAUUGGAUUCGCCCUUGGGUCGAGUGUAUAACCAUUCUAAAACACUUUGAUACAAAAUAAAAGGAACAUGUGCAUGAUGAUGGGUGACGGAUGGAAGCUUACUCAAACAUUAAAUAGGUAGUCAAGUCAAACAAACAUGCUGCUAGUAACAUUGGUAUAGUACUAAAAAUUGAUAUACUUUAAGAUAUUAAAAUUUAUUCAAAUUUUAUUAAAAUAUUUUUAAAACAACUUUUUUUAUUAUAAAAAUUGAUUGUAUUACGACAGACAAUUUUUAUAUGAAAUAGUUAAUAUUUUCAAUGUGAUUACAUAAUGUAUACUUUAUUCCAAGUAGCAACAAUUUUUACUAUUUAAAAAAAUUACAAUCUUUUACAAUUUCUAAUAAUUUUUAUAAUUUCUUACAAUAUUUUACAAUUUCUAUUUUUUAAAAUUUUUUUAAAAUUUUUAAAAAUUUUAACAUAUUUUUAAUUUUUAAAUAGUUUUUGUAAUUUUUAUAUUUUUAAAGAUUUUUAGGGUUUUUUUUCAAAUGAUGAUUCAUUGUGAGUCAGCAUAUGUCACGUGGAAAUUUAUGGUUGGUUGGAUAUCCCAACCAUUUUUUAACUUCCAAAGGACUAAACUAGGAACAUUGGAUAACAUUAGGGAUUGAAGUGGUGAAAGAAAAACUUUAAGGAUCAAAGUGGGAAAAAUGGUAUAUGUUACGAACUAAAGUGUAGAUUAAGCCUUUAAAAAUGAAAUUAAAAAUAAUUUUAUAUUAAUAUUUAUAUUCUUUUAUAAUUAAAUUUAAAUAAAAAUAAAUUUAAAAUUAUUUAAUUUUAAUUCGAACAAGCUAGGUUAACUUGAAGUUGAAAAUUUUUUGUCCAACCCAACUCAAAUAGAUUGAAUCAACCAAGUCAGAUGGGCCACUUGGGUCAUGAGUAAGUCUAAUUAGACGAUUCUUGAUGUCAUAAGAAUUAAGUUGGAGGUAGAAUCAAUUAUACUUUCAAAUUUUAAAUUAAUUAAUUAAACCACUUAUUUUUUAAAAAAAUACUAAUAAUAAUUAAAAAUAUUUUUUUAAAAAAAAAUCAAAGAUAAAAAUGAAUCAAACAUGAUAAGAAAAAAUUCAAAAUUUUUUGUUAAAGAAAUAAAAGUUUUAAAAUCUGAUUUCCUAAAUUUUUAACUGAUUGUUUCGAUCUUUAAAUUAUCAGUAUGAAGUUAUUCUAACUUAUUUUAAUUAUAUAUUAUCAGAUAAAUCUCUAAUUUUUAAUUCAAUUAGUAAAUUCGAGUCAUUCUUUACUAUUAAUGAAUCUUUGAACUGAGUAGCUAUCUAAACCAUUAUUGAGUUGAUUUUUCAACUUGGACCUCAUCAAUUUUAUUAGUUUCAAUAUUGUUGUUCACCCAUAUUAUGCUGACUACUAUGGGGCAUAUGUCCUUUAAGAUAUAUUGUCGGAUACUCAAGUCAUUUACUCAUUAAUCACUAGGUAAUAGCUUAUACACUAGAGGCUCUUGAGGGAAUUUAGGUUUCGAGAUAUUGUUUUGGGCUUUUGCUUCCUACUAUCAUAAGUUAAACUUGAAAAUAUUAAAUGUGAUAUGAAUUAGAUACAGAUAAUAUGAAAAAAUAUUAAUAUUUAUAUUACACAUAUUAUUAAUUAACUUAAACUUAUAUAAACAUAAAAUAUUUCAAACAUAUUUUUUUUGCCAACAAAUAUUUCAGACAUGAUUGUAUUAUGAAACUAACAUAAUGUGAUGAGUCUAACGUAGGUGAAGUCAUCGUAGGAUUUAAAUUUUUAAAUAAGGUGUAAUAGUUAGAUUUUUGUUGUUGUAAGAAAAUUAGAAAAAUCAAUAUAUCAAAUAAGUUUUAGUAACUAUUAACCUUGAAAAGUCUUGCAUCCAAAAAGACCAACAAUGCUCCGAAGGUUGCAUGGAAAGUAUAAGCUUGGUUCCUUCCCUCUUGUUAACUUGUGUAUGAAAUCGACAACUCUAUUUGGUUCUCGGAAUGUAUGUUAGAAAACCACAGUCCAUUCUCUUCCACACAGCUCAUCUAUUUGCUUUAUAAUGCCCACAUAGCUUCCCUCUAUGUCCUCAUUCAACCACUACACUAUACUGACACUAUCACUUUUGACAAUGAAAUGCUUAAACCCAAUAAGCCAAGCAAAAUGGAAGCCAUCAAUAAUUGCCCAUAGUUCCACCAUUUCCACGGAGCAUCACCCCAAACUUCUAUUAUAUAAAAAAACCCACAUCCCUUUAUCGUCCCUUAUAACUUUUCCUGCUAAAGCUUGCCUGUUGGCCAAAUUCCAAUACCCAUCUAUGCUAAUUUUAGUGUUGGAUUUAGUGCCAUUAGUGUAGUAUUUUCGUCUAUAUGUACUUGUAUUUUUCAAACAAAUUGGUUUAAUAAAAUAUCCAUCAGUUACAUUAAUAUUUUUUGUAUAUUGUCCUAAAUAGUUUUUUCACGCAAAGCAAAAUGAAAGCAAAUAUUGACUCAAUGAUCAUCUAACAUUUAACUAAUACUAAAUGCUAUUACGUGGUCGGAUCAUAAUACAAAAAGACAACUUAUAUAAUAGAUAAUCUAAACAUGUCCUUAGUCUAAUUGAAAAUGAGCAUCUCUAUCAGAUCCAAUUGGGGAGAUAUCAUGUCUUAGGUAUUAGAGUGAAUGACUCCUAAAAGAUAGAGACAUAGAUGUGACUGACUGGACUAACAGUACAUCGAAUAGGACCCAAGUAGAAUAGAUCCUAAAUUUGUUUAUGAUUUUAUUCACUUGUGACAUUUAUAGUGUGACAUGCAUUAAUCUUGAGAGGAUGAUGGAAUAUUAUACAUGACUCGUAUACUUUGAUGUAAAUGAAAGCCUGAGUUCAAAUAGAAAAGGAAUCGAAAGUUGGUACAUUGGGUAUACAACUUUUGCAGUUCGUAACAUCAUUCAAAAUAGUGGAAUUCAUAACUCAACUAAAGGGUAAAUGAUAUCCUCUUAUUGGCAUUACAUGAUAGAUGAAAACUGAAACAUAGUCAUGAGUCAUUUUUCUUUGUGAUAAAUGAUUUAAUUAUUAUUUGAUAGUAAUUGACUUUUCAUGAAGAAAGAUAUAAUGGUUAACAUGAGAUAAAAUAGGAUCAUAUGGGAAUAACAAAUUUAUCCCAAAGAGAUUAAAUAUAUCCUAUGAGGGUAAAACACUUAUGACAAGGUCAUUGGACAAACACUUAUUGAGUAGCUUUCGUAAUGGUAUAUAAUAAAGGAGAGCUCGGUCACGAUACUUUAGUGGAAUGACUUUGUGAUGCAUGCACGAACGUGGUGAAAUUUGUUAAAUUCCAUUCACCGAAGCUGCCAAUUUUCAAGUUUGGAAAAUCAAUCGACUUCCAAUGACUUUUUGGAUGGGAUCUAGACAUUUCUGGGCUGUAAUGUCUCAUAGGGUUCGAAGAUAUAUCUCUUAGCUUCAAAACUCACUUUGAAUCACUUGAUUUCGAGUUCACGAGCUCAAGUUAUGACCAUUUUAGUGAGACUGCGUAAAUAGAAUUUCUGAUUAUUACGAAAAUUGCAAGUUUCGAGAUUUUAAUUUAGGUUUAUAUUAUAUUUUGUUUGAUUUUUGGCUUAAUUUUUAUUAUAUAUGAGCCUAAUAUUGUAUUUAUUAGGUCUUAUCAUUUCAUUAUUUAUUUAUUAUGAAUUUUGGAUAUAUUGUUUUAAGUAUUUUAAGUUAUUUAGGGAUUUUAUGUUUCUUAGUCAAUAAGAAAGUUUAGAACUACUUAUUUAGAUUAACUAGAGUUUCAAUAUACUUGAGAGUUUUAUUUGGAUGUACUUAGCUAACCUAUAUAAAGGCUUUUUCAUUGUGCACAAUUCAUAAUUCAUUCAGCAACUUCUCUCUUUAAGUUAAUAAAAUUCUCUUUAAGUUUUUUCUCUUCAAGAAUUCCUCUUAAGUUUUCUUUUAGAAGAGUUUUAACAAUCUUUUCAGAUUGUGAGGAUAAACUUCAAGCUUCUUAUUGCCAAGUUUUCUUUCUUGGAGCAGAAACUAGAGUCGUUUGGAGGGGGUUAUAGGUUCAUCUGGCUUAAUUUUUAUAAUAUAUAAGCCUAAUAUUGUAUUUAUUAGGUCUUUUUAUUUCAUUAUUUAUUUAUUAUGAAUUUUGGAUAUAUAUUUUUAAGUAUUUUAAGUUAUUUAGGGGUUUUAUGUUUCUUAGUCAAUAAGAAAGUUUAGUUUAAAACUACUUAUUUAGAUUAAUUAGAGUUUCAGUAUACUUGAGAGUUUUAUUUGAAUGUACUUAGCUAUCUUAUAUAAAGGUUUUUUCAUUGUACACAAUUCAUAAUUCAUCCAACAACUUCUCUCUUUUAAUUUAAUAAAAUUCUAUUUAAGUUUUUCUCUUCAAGAAUUUCUCUUGAGUUUUCUUUUAGAAGAGUUUUAACAAUCUUUUCAGAUUGUGAGGAUAAACUUCAAGCUUUUUAUUGCCAAGUUUUCUUUCUUGGAGGAGAAAUUAGAGUCAUUUGGAGGGAGUUAUGGAUUCAUCUGGUUUCCAAGGCUUUUUUCCAGCAUGUAGAAGUCCUAAGGAGCCUUGGAAACCAGAUGAAUUCAUAACCCUCUUCAAACAACUCUAAUUUUUCCUCCAAGAAAGAAAACUUGACAAGAAAAAGCUUGAAAAUGAUCCCCACAAUCUGGAAAGAUUGUUAAAACUCCUCUAAAAGAAAACUCAAAAAGAAUUUUAUUAACUCAAAAAGAAAAGUUGUUGAAUGAAUUAUGAAAUAUGUACAAUGAUGAAGCCUUUAUAUAGGCUAACUAAGUACAUCCAAAUAAAACUCUCAAGUAUACUGGAACUCUAAUUAAUCUAAAUAAAAAGUAGUUUUAAACUAAACUUUCUUGUUGACUAAAAAACAUUAAACUCCUAAAUAACUUAAAAUACUUAAAAAUAUAUCCAAAAUUUGAAAUAAAUAAUGAAAUAAUACGACCUAAUAAAUACAAUAUUAGGCUCAUAUAUAAUAAAAAUUAAGCCUAAAAAUUGGACCCAAUAUGAUUGAAACUCAAAUUAAAAGCUCGAAACUCGUACUUUUCAUAAUAAUCUCGUUCAGAAAUUAUGUUCGCAUAGUAUUUACUAAAACGGUCAUAACUUGAUCUCCCAAACUCAAAAUUGAGUGAUUCAAUGUGAUUUUCAAAGCUAGGGGAUAGAUCUUUGAACACUAUGAAGACAUCUCAAUUAAGAAAUGCUUGGAUUCAAUCCAAAAGUCAUCACAAAUCGGUUGAUUUUCCAAACUUUAAAAUUGAUAGCUUUAUUGAAUGGAAUCUAAUAAAUUUUACCCUAUCGGUGCAUGUAUCACUUCAUGACUAAAUAAUUUUAUAAUUAAUAGGUGAAAAGUUAGAACUUAAUUAUAAAUUAUUUUAGCCCUAAUUAUUAAUUGGUCUCUCCACUAGCUCGAGAUAACUAGAAACGAAUUACAUGUAGAACCAAUGAAUGAAAAUGAUGAAAUAGGAGAAAUAGAUCGCAUGUAUCACUAUUCGCAGUGAAUGCAUUUUCUCGCUAAGGACAAGAAAUGACUUAGAAAUUAGCUUAAUGUUUUUUAAUUAUAAUUAAAUAAUUGGAGUUCGAAGAUAAAAUUAGAUUAGUCAAGUCAUUAUGAAUUUAUUGAAUAAGGAAAUUAAAUAUAUUUUCUUUAUAGAUUCUAUUACGUUAAAGUUAUUAUGAUUUUAACGGAAUUAUAAUUGAGCUGAGAAAAUUAUUUAAUUGAGAAAUUAAUUUAGUUAAUGUAAUUAGUUAAAUUAAUUGGUCAAAUAAUAUUUUUUUUUAGAUAAUAAAAAUAAAUAUUGGGUUGGAUAAAUUAUAAGUAUUGGAUUAAAAGUCCAGAAAACACAUAUAAUUGGACUAAAUAAAUGAUAGGCCCAAAGUGGAGCUUUGUAUGAGAUACAAUGGGUAGCAACCUUGGUAUUUCUAGGUUGUCGUUACCCCCUACUUCAUUUAGAGUAGAAUUGUAUUUUCUAUUAAAAUAAAUUAUUUAUUUAGAACUUAUUCAAGCAGAACUCUUAUGCAUUUCUUUAUAAAUAAAGACCACCGGUUGACCUAAAUACACACUUGAUAGAUGUCGUUAUUUUGCCAGAAAGUAGUGGUAAUUUAUUUACAAAUAAUGAAAUCAAUUUUCUGGGAAUAUCGAAUAAUUAUCGGUUUAAUAAGAGAAUUUACUUUCCCACAAAAAGUAAAUAAAUUGUUUUCAUUCUGUGACUUGGUUUGUGUUGCUUGAGCCUGCACACGAGGCAAUUUGUGGUUCGAGGAUAGCGAAGAAGGUUGUUCAGUUGAAAAUAAGGAUAAACUUUAGUCCCCAUCGCACAAAGUACAUCUACAUCUACAUCUCAGUUAUGGUUUAUUGUUAUAAAUAACAUAACAGACUCGGUUUAAGAAAAAUUGUAAACUUGCGUUAUAGCUAAAAUAAUUGUUUUUUUAACCGAAUUUUCCAACUUUUGAUCGAUCCAAGGUUUGGUUUCAUCCACUUGUUAUCUUCAUUGUUUCAAUUAAAGGGUCCUUUGCCUCUACUAUUGGUAGCAUUGAAACAAAUAGUCUAGCUUCGAUAAUACAACAAGCUGAAACACUUAUACAUUGCCUUGUUGGAAAAUAUAGUUGUUCUAUUGCUCCCAUAAUUUCUAGCAACGAAUAGAAAAAAAUAUUUCCCAAUAAAACUCAUAAAAAACAAAAGAGAUAAAGAAUUUUGAAGGUUUGAGCAAAUCCAAUCAUUCAGAGACAAUGAAAAGAACCUAUCAUGUUCAGAAUUAAGGAUUACUUGGGUCUGGACAGAUCUCGUUAUAUUGCAGUCCUUAAGAACAUGGAUGAUAUCCUUAAUUGGUACACCAUACAUCAAGAAACUAUUUGACCUAGCUAGUCCCCUCUGACAUCUUUCGACAUUAGUUAUAAUUCUAUUAUGAAAAGCUAGCGAUAGGAAUUGCUAAGCUCUUUACAAAAUAGGUGAUUUCCAAAGCAACUCCCAUUUGCUAGACUUUGGCUUCCAUUAAUGCUUAGCUUUGAAUCUAUAAGUUUAUAUAGUGGUCAACUUACCAUUAAUAGAUAUUGACCAAACACAUUGGUCCUCUUUACCAUGCGCAUUCAACUAUCGUAUACUUGCAAUUUGCAUUAUGAGGGAAUCAUCCAACAUGCCUUUAAUUCUUAACCAAUCCCAACCACGAUGGUUAUUGACAUUUCUCGAACCAAUAUUCAUUGCAUCGUAUUAGAGCAUAGAAAGCAAUAAAACUUUAAUGGCCCAAAAUUACGAACCCAAGAAUCCAUCCAGAAACUAACUUUCGACCCAUUCCCAAUAGACCAAAUCAAUGUUUCUCUAAGCAUAUCAUAUAUUCUCAUAAUCGAAUGCCAAAAAUACAUGGGAAGAAUUGCUUCUCUUUAUAUCGAGAAGGCAUCCAACACUAAACUUAUAAUUUGAUUUAAGCACUCUAACCCACAAAGUUGCGUUAUUAUUUACAAGCUUGAAUCCAAGCUUUAGCAAGAGUGAAUCAUUCAAAUCUUUUAAUUUCCUUAGUCUUAAAACCCUAUUUGUAGUAGAUCGACAUAAUGUAUUCCAUGCCACAAGAAGCUUUUAGAUUAUCUUCUAAUGACCUUCAAAUAAAUCUUCGAAUAACCUUUUCAAUCUCUUCACAUUUGCCCUUCAUAACCUUGGUUGUUUGCAUAAAAUAGUUAGCAAUAAAGAGUAACACUAAUUUAGCUAAAGUAACUUUACCCGCUAAAGAUAAGAGAUGAGCAUUCUGACCAUUGAGCUUUUGACAAACUUUAUCCAGCACAAAGGAAAAAAAAAACCUCUUCAUAAAUCUUUGAUGGAAAAGUGGCACUCUCAAAUACUUGCCAAGAUCCUUCACCUAUCGAAAACUCAAUCUAGCACUUAAAGAAAUGACAACUUCUUCUAAAUUAUUAUUAGAGAAGAAACUCACUUUUAUGACCUGAUUUGAUGUAGAAUUGGUCUAAAAUUCUAUGGAUGAGUGAAGCAUGAUCCAAAUCCUCUAUACCCAAAAGCACUAAGUUGUUAGCAAAAUAUAAAUGGGACAAAGGAGGCCCAUUCAUCACAAGUCUAAUUGGUUUCCAUGACACACCCUCUAUAAUCGAACUAAUGUACAAGCCCAAUUUCUCCAUACCAAGGACAAAUAAGUAUGGUGAGACAGAAUCACCCUAGUGUAAUCCUCUAGAAUGUAUGAAGGUUGUCAUCGAUGACCAAUUCUAAAGAACCUACAUAGACAAAGGUGAAACACAAUACAUGAUAGGACAAUGCAGUUUAACAAGAAUACCAAUGUCAAACAAACACUCAUCCAAGAAAUCCCAAUGCAUGUGGUCAUGUCUUCUCCAAAUCAACUUUAAUAGUCAUCCAAGCAACAUUGCCUUUCUUGACUCACAUUGAAUGAACAACUUCUUCUACUAUCAUUGUUAUUAUCAGAGAUAUGCUUCCCUAAAAUGAAGCUUACUUGAUUCGAAGCUAUAAGAUUAGGAAGGAAUUUGUGAAGUCUAAUUAGCAAUCACUUUUGUCAGGAUUUUGUACAGCACAUUACAUAAACUAAUGGAACAAAAUUUAAAAAUCUAUAAUAUGCGAAAAAGGAUAUAACUUACUCAUCACUCAUAAAUAGCAACUUGUUCAUCUAAGUAUACAAACUUUAAAUUUGAUAUCAUUUAAUCUAAAACUUUAAACUUGUACAUAAGCCUCAAAUGGAAUUGACUUUCAACCGAUGUUAACAAUAAUUUUAUUUGUGAUAUUUUUAUGUAUUUUUUUCAUGAAAGAAAACAAACUUGAAAUUCUAACCAUUUAUGUGUGGAGGAUUUGUUGUUCGCUUUGAAAAAAUAGGAAAAGGUUUUACCAAAUCAAUCGGUUACAAGUUAAUACCAAAAUUUGUAAUGCAAUACCAAUAUCUCCAAUGGAAAUUGUUAGAUAUUUUACUAUACCAAAAUUUUCCUUUUCCUACUUGUGUGUGGGGACCAAUAACAUGUACCAAAACUUUCUAAUGUUAUACCAAUAUUCUAAUGCAUACCAAAAUUUCCAAGGGAUGUCGUUAGAUAUUUUGAUAUACCAAAUUUUAUAACGUAACCAAAAUCUUUAACAGAUACCAAAAUUUGUAACCAAAUACCAAAAUUUCUAAUGAUACCACCAAAAUUUCUAUCGUAUACUAAUAUUUCUAAUGGAAAUCAUUAGAUAUUUUGGUAUGCCAAAAUUUUCCUUUGCCUGCUAAUGUAUGAGGACCAAUAACUUGUACCAAAAUUUCUAACAUUAUACCAAUAUGUUGGAUUGUCGGUACACGCUUUGGUGUGGAAGAAAAAUUAUUCUAGAAAUCACAACCAAGGAUCCAUGUACGAGGAAUGAACACGAGUUUAAGAAAUAUUGAAAAUAUACCUUUAAUAAUUUGGAAACAAGUAUAGUACCAAGGGGAUCCUUCUGCCUGUCUCGCAAGCCACAAUCACAAUGUAAAGUCCUGGCCUCUAUGUGACUCACCUGGAAGAGAAUGACAAGAAAGUUCUUUGAACUAUUUAGAGGAAAAACAAAAUUUUUUCUUUUUGCUAGUAAAGAUAGAUUUCGGGUGAAAACAAAAACUAAUAUUAAGCAUUUUUCAAAAACAAGUUUUAAUUGCCUUGAAACUCUUAAAGGGAAAAUAAGAUAUAUCUUUUAACCCUUCAACCAAUUUUUUUAUUAAAUACAAUAUUUAAUAAAUUUAAUUAGGCAGGCUUAUAAAAUUAAAUUAUAUGAAACACAUUUUUCAUAUUAUUUUAAUUGAGUUCUAUAUAUACAUAUGCUUCAAGUAUGUACAUAUAUUAUGUUUAAUUUUAACAUUUUUAAAUUAAAUUAAUUAUUAGAACAUUUCUAUAAUCAAUUUAACUUUUGUGACAUUUUAAACAUAGUCUCAACUUUCAUUACAUUUUGAUUGUCUCAACCAAAGGGUGUGACCUAUAGGAUUCUAUAACGUUAGCAAUAACAUUGAAAAGAUUAUAAUUUUACAAAUAGUGAGUGACAUCUAGCAAUGCAUCAUUGCUACCCAAGUCACAAGAAGUCAUGGUUCAACAUGGUUUUCUGUGACAAUAUUAUUACGUGUAACAUCCCUUUGUCCUUUAUAUCUAUAUUGAACACAAGUCAUGAAAUAGUCAAACUUGUAUGGUCUAAUCUCUUAUUUCUUGAUUCCCGUGUAGGCUAAGAUAAACAAAUAAGUGUGAUAUAUCAUAUAAACUAAUUUGAGCAUGGUCAUGUAUUUUUUGUCUCAUUUGAUCAAGAGGCCUAAGAUAUGUCUCUCAUUAUGUAAGAGGGAUAAAUCCUAUCUUGAUCAAUCACAUCUCACUACAUAGAUUAUGGCACACCCAACAUUAGUCCUUAAAGUACAACCAUUUACGGAAGAGGUUUGAUUGUGUCAAAGCAUAUGACUCAAGAUGUUGGAAUAAUGAUGAUCACAAGUCUUAGAAUCAUACAUAUAAUUAUCACUAUGAGAAAUAUUAUGACUAUUACAUAAUAAUCCAAGAAAUAUUCUCAUGGCAGGUCAGUCCAAUACGUUGUUCUCAAACAUGUACUUAUGCAUUGACUUUGACAUGUUGGGAAAUGUGUUCGCAUGGUAGUAAACAUGUAGUUGUUUUAUAUUUAUUUGAACGAUGAAUAAAUAAAAAAAUUAAUUUCACAUUUCACUAUAUUUUGUGUUUGUCUUUCAUGUUUUGCAUACAUAGCGAAAUUGUGAUAAGCAAAUGUUAACUCAUUGAUUUAUCUAAGUUCAAGCUGAUAAUAAUUGGCAUUGUAAGAAGGUUUACAUUGCGAGAAAGACAACUUACUUCAAUAGAUAAUCUAAACGAGUUCGUAAUCCCGUAAAAGAAUCAAAGUGAACAUUUGAUUCAAAUACUCAGAAGGAUUAUUAUAUCAUCUACAAUUCCAAUUAGAAAGAUGACUAAUCUUGGCUAUCGGAGUAGUUGACUCCAUGGGUAGAGAUAUUAAUGUACUCAUUGGAAGAAUGAUACAUUGGCCUGGACCCAAGUUGAAUUAGUAUUGAAUCCGUUUGUGAAUUAAUUCACUUAUGAUAUUCAUAGUCUGACUUACCUAAAUCCUGAGCUAGUCAUUGACCAUUCGUGUAUAACCCAUAUGAAUUGAUAUAAGUGGAGGCUUAUGCUCUAAAGAUGAUCGAGUCGAUAGCAGUUAUGUUGGGUACAUGACUUAUGUAUGGCAUGGUUUUACUAGAAAUAAUGGAAUUUAUAGCUCGAUUAAAGAGUUAACGAUAUCCUCUCAUUGAAUUUGUGUGGAUUGAUAAAUAUGGAAUGUGGCCAUGAGUUGCUUGUUCUCAAAUGAGCAAUUUAUCACAGUCAUUAGUUGACAGCGGUCAUAUUAAUUAUUAAGAAGACACAAUGGUGACAAUGAGAUAAAACAAGAUUGCAUUAAGUGAACAAAUUUAACUCAAGAAAUCAAGGAUAUCAUAUGAGGGUAACACACAUAUGGCGAAGUCAAUGGACAAAGCAAUUGGAUGAAUUGCUUUCAUAAAGAGUAUACAAUAAGGAGUUUUCAAUCAUGAUACUUCUUGUGAACUAACUUUAUAGUUAAGUAAAUUUCAAAUUAUCAGAUCGAUACUUCCAGACAUAAUUGCAAUUAACUUGAGCUUAAUUGUAUAUGUCCAAUUGGUCCAUUCGCUAGAGUGACAAAAGCUCAAUUAGACUACAUUUGAAUCAAAAGAAAAUUAUACGACUUUGAGAAUAAUUUAAUUGAGUCGAUUUAUUCAAUGUGGAAUUAAAUUAGGUGGUCAUGAGAAUUAUUCAACUAGAGAAUUUGGUUAAAGAAUUUUCUUGAAAAAUUAAUUUGGAAAAUCUCAGUGAUUUUUGGGAAAAUUAAUUUUGAUCAAGUGAAAUUAAAUUAAUCAAGUUAAUUAAAAUAACUAUGAUAUUUUUUGAAAUUAACUUUCAAGUCAGACAAUUAGCCCAAUGAGUAAUUGAACUUAAAAAUUGGACCCAAAAUAAAAAAUUGAACCCGAGAAUCAAAACUUGAGACUGAAAACCAAAAAUUGGUCAAAUCGGGCUCUAUGUAUGAAACUGGAUCGAUGAUCCAGCCGAUGGCUAGAUCGAACCGGUUGGGCUGUCACUGGCCUGAACCGAAUCGAUAGCAGCCAAAUUGGUCAAGCCCAUUUGGGAAAAACAAAAAUAGUUCAGGGUGCUGGGGGAGUCGUGCCAGUGAUGGCACCGCCAAGCACGACGACUACGACAACGACGAUCCAACAAUCGACAGAUGGUCGGCGGUGACGGUUCUUCGGUGGUAGUGUGGUGGAAAAAUUAGACUCAUAAUAGGACUCUAUCGGGUAACUUGAUUUCAAAUUAACUUUUCCAAAGAUAAUAUUAUUUUAAUGAAUUUAAUAUUAAAUUAAAUUUAAUAUCCCAUAUUAUUAAAUUUAAUUUAAUAUUUAUCUAUAUAAUAUUUUAUUAAUUUAAUAUUAAUGUGAUUAAUUCUAAUCCUAGUUAAACUCUCUCUAAACUCUCCCUAUAUAAAAAGAGCAUGGGUCAUUAUUCUCAUACACUUGAAUUCAAGAAAAUUUGUAGAGAGAAAAUUCUCUAAAGAAAUGAUUUCAGAAAAUUUCUAGAGAUAUUCUUGUUAUUUACAACUUGACCCCAUAAGUUUAGAAAAAUUACGAAAUUACUCCACUAGUAAUUUUGGAAAAUUUUUUUUAAUUUGAAGCGAGCUCACACUUGGCAAACGUGUGCUUGAGGAUAACGGGGAAGACUACUCGGUUGAAAUGUUCAUCCUAGACGAAUCAUAAAGGUACGGUUUUGAUAAAGUGUUUAUUAUUUUAGAUAACACAAUCAAGUUCUUGUUUUUGGAAAAAGAAUUUAAAAUUCUAGUUUUCCCUUAAACCUAUUUUCCAUUGCAUUUUCCGAACUCGAUCUUCCAACAUGACAUCCCUAUGUCAAUGACAACAUUUUGUCAUCAAUCAACUACAUAUCAGUCUCAAUGUAUUAUUAUUGCUUAAGCUCGCAAUAAUACUUGAUUAAGGACAUUUAAGAAUAAUCACAUUAUUCUUAGGACUAAAAUAAUAAUGGCAAUGUCUUUUAUUAAUAAACUAGGUAAACAAGUAUGUGAUUACAAUCAUCGCAUGAUUAGUCUUCCGGCAUACUCCAAUAUAAUAUUGUUGAAAAAUUUGUUUAUGAGAACGAUUUUGUUGCAUAGAGAAAUUUCAAAAACUUUUAUAAAACUUGAACCUUUGUUGUGAUAUCUAUGGCUAUAUAUUUUACCAAACAUAAUACCUACUUUAUUGGACUAGCGAAAUUUGUUGGUUCUUGGCUUUCAAGCAAAUGAUUUUCUCAGCCAUCCUAAACCCUUAAUUACUAAGGAGUGGGCUAUUAUCACAAACCGAUCACGGAAGAAGAACUAAAACUUUCUAGUGGAGAAAGUUCACUCUUUCUAUGGGAAAUCAAACCGAAAUUAAUGACUCGAGUACUCAUGAAAUAUAGAAUUCAUUUUGUAGCUAAAUAAAUUUUCCUAAAUUUCGACAAAGUACCUCAUCUUAGAAGUGUGUAUCUUCAGUUACCCCAUAGUCACUUUAUAUAGAGAAAAAUAUGAGUUCUACUUGAACAAGAAGAGAAGAAAAGUAAUAUUUUAAUAGAAAACCAAAAUCCUACUAGGAGUUAUAGGAGUUAAUGCACUAGACAACACAUGCUAGGUUUCCCAAACCUAGUGUGCCUCCCACCCCUAGUGUUAUUGGGCUCAUUUAACCAUUCAUGUAUUUAGUAAAAUUAUAUGUGUAGGUCCAUUUUAAUUAAAACAAGCUCAUAUAAUUAUCCAACCCAAUAACUAGUUUUCUAUUCCUAAAAUAUUAUUUAUUCAACUAAUUAAUUCAAUAAAAUAAUAAUUUGGGAAUAGAAAUUGAUUAUUAGGUUGGAUAACUAUAUGAGCCUGUUUUAAUAAAAAACUAGAUUGUAAAUACAAUUAUACCCAAUACAAUAAAAUGCCCAAAAAGCUCAUCUUACUAAACGGGUGGGCGGCACAUUGAGUAAUCCUAGUAAGGGUGUGUUGCCUACCACAAGCACUCUUAGUAGGAGUAUGAGUUUUCUAUUAAAAUAUUAUUUAUCCCUCUUCUUGUUCAAGUAGAGCUCUUGCAUUUUUUUUCUCUAUACAAAGGAAUCAUGGGAAGUUGAAAUACAAACACUCAUCGAUACGUGGUUAUUUUAUUAUUUUAUUAAAAUUUAGGGAAAUUUAUUAGCUACAAAUAAAUUUUAAAUUUUGUUAGCACUUGAGUUUUUCGAUUUUGGUUAUUAAGAAGAGAAUUUAUUUUUUCAUUGGAAAAAUUAAAGUUUUCGUAUUGUGAUCGAUUUAGGACUAGGAGCCCUCUCUUUGCAACUAAAGGUAAGAGAAUAACGGAGAAGGUUGAUUGGUAGAAAGUUAGAAAAUCGACAGAUCGCACUAGACCAAAAUGCAUAUAUUAAAUUUGGUAAAAUUUAUUGCCAUGGAUAACACAACAAAGGUUUAGUUUUAUGAAAAUUUUUAAAAUUUUCGUUGUGAAAUAAAACUCGUUUUCGUAACUAAUUUUUCCAUCAAUUGGCAUCAUACCAGGUUGUGUUAUGUUGUAAAUUUAUUAUCGAAUUACCUCGUCUCUCUAUUGUUUGAUUAAAUUGAUAGAAAGUGACAUUAUUAUCUUAUGCGUGCUUUUGGAUUGUAUAUGUGAAUGGAUGUUUAUAGAUGUUAUAAAAAAUUUUAAUUAUUAAUUUUGCUAAAGUUGUGGUUUAUAAAAUUAGAUUGGGUAUAUUUUAGGUUAAAUUUUUUAUCAUGUAAUUAGAUCGUAAACUAUCAUCUCCAUAUAGGUUUUUUAUUUUUCCUUAAAAUAAAAAGUCUUGUGAGUUGGAAACAGACUAAGGUUUAUGUAACCAAUUACAAACCAGAGACCUCGAAGUAGAUUAGACGGAAAAAUGGAUGAACAGUUGAAGAAGGAGAAGUUGGCGUUGUGGACAAUAGUCGGAGCAUCGCAAUUGUUGAGGCGAUGCGAGGGGCAUCGCACCCCAUUGUGUGAGCUAGGCACACAGCAUCGGCCGAGGCCUCGUGCCUUAGCAGAGCAGUCUUGCGAGGCUACUGCGUGAGAGCAAGGGCAUCACACCCUAACAACAUGCAAAAGGUGCCAAGGAUGGCCGAGGCAUCGCACCCCUGUCCGGCAUCCAUGCACGUAGCAAGUUGCUCUUAAUAGUUACAUAUUUUAUCAAUUUAAUCUUAAUUCUAAAAAAAAUCAACAAAAUUAAUCUCUAAUAUUACACGUUUACACAAAGAGUCUUACUUAGCUGACCGUUCGUCAUUUCCUACAUGAUUAACGAACAAAUAUCAACCACAUAAAAUGUUGAUUUGAAAUGGCUACUUAAAUAGCCAGUUUUGUUAAUCUCCCCCCCCCCCCCAACCCCCUUUUAUUAAAGAAGUAUAUAUUGUCUGGAUUUUAGCAUUGGGAGUCUGACACUGCACUCUCCUUUCUCAAGCAAAACUAAUCUAAAGCAAACAUCAACCUUCACUUUUUUCUCUCUAAAACUUCCUUCCUUAAACCACUACUUGUCUUAUUAUUUGAUCAAUAUUUCAUAACCUUCAUUAAAAAUCCAAUCAUACUAGCCAAAAUGGAAGCAUUGGGAAAAGGCACGAGGAGCGAGGUAAUUAUGGUGCUCGAAUAUGGUCUUGUUACCUGGGUUUGGGUCUUUGGUUCAGUAUGCUAGAGAGGGGGUGAGAAUUAAGGGUAUAUUAUGUUGGAGCCAACGGUCAAUGAAACGACAUUAAAAAUUGUAAAAUAAACAAAAAAAAAAAACUUGGAACAAUGGCGGUCACAAACCCAUAAAUUAUAACAGAAAGCGGGAAAGGGUUAUAAUUCACAUUGUGUAUUAUGCCUUGGUAAUGCAACAAGUGAAUGUAGAACUCGGAGGGGGUGCUCAAUACCCAAACUCUCAGAACAAAUGAAAUUGUAGUCUUUCUAAAUUUAAACACAAAAUUUAUCCAAAUUGAAAAAAUAUGUAAAUUUUGUUAUUACAUCAAUUGAAAUUAUGCACAAUUGAUAAAAAAUAUUAACAUUACAAUUAAUUAUCUUUAAAUGCUUAUUUACUUUUGAAAUUAAUAGAGAUUAAACUGUUCCUAAUUUAGACGGAUUAAAAAGUCUUUUUAACCAUAAUAUAAUAUAUAUUAUAAAAUUAAAAAAAAAAUUCAACCGAGCGAAACUCAAAUCAUAUUUUAAAUGGAAUUAGUUUUUUUUUUAGGCCCAUUUUGGGCAUAAUAGUUUUGCGCCCAACCCUUCCACCUUUGGGCGUACAAAGAAAAGCUAAGCUAGCCGAUAAUUACCUUGGAGUUGGACUCGGAGAUCAAGCAAAGCAUUUUCAUAACCCAAUUUUUUUUCUUCAAACACAAAUCAAAGGGAGAAAAAAGAAUGGCAGUGGAGGGUUCAUCGAAGAAGAUGAUAGCAACACAAGCAGAGAUGGUGGAGAACAAGGUCCCCAUCCCGUACAGGGAUCAAUGUGCACAUCUUCUCAUCCCGCUCAACAAGUGCCGCCAAGCCGAGUUUUACUUACCUUGGAAAUGCGAGAUUGAACGCCACUCCUAUGAAAAGUGCGAGUACGAGCUCGUCAUGGAGAGGAUGUUGCAGAUGCAGAAGAUCCGUGAAGAAGAGGCCAGGUUGAAACAGGCUGGGAAACAGGGCGCUUCUGUUCCUCUCAUUCCCAAAACUGCUAAUGCUUAAGCUGUCUCCAGGGUCAGUCAAAUUUUCUUUUCUUUCUUUCUUUUUCUUUCAGUUUCUUUUAUAUAUAAUUUAAUAACUGGAUAUUUAUCUAUUGAUGUUUUCGUUCAUAGUUUGUUGAUGGGUUCAUUGAUCUUUGUAUUGAGGGCUGUUUAAGUUCCAAAAUUUUGGGGUUU
Molecule: long non-coding RNA, 20489 nt
Filed under: Gossypium barbadense (sea-island cotton)
Lineage: Eukaryota; Viridiplantae; Streptophyta; Magnoliopsida; Malvales; Malvaceae
Description: long non-coding RNA (GBAR_LNC014343)
Source: RNAcentral